This 27-nucleotide ribosomal RNA is filed under the name Alternaria sp. MY-2011. Its description in RNAcentral is "partial 28S large subunit ribosomal RNA". Lineage: Eukaryota; Fungi; Ascomycota; Dothideomycetes; Pleosporales; Pleosporaceae. The record is from RNAcentral.
UUGACCUCGAUCACGAAGAACUUGUCG